UAUAUACUCCCUCCAUCCCAAAAUUCUUGUCUUAAAUUUGUCUACAUAUAAAUGUAUCUAGUCGCGUUUUAGUAUUUAGGUACAUUCAUUUCUAGCUAAAUCUGAGACAAGAAUUUUGGGACAGAGGGAGUAUAAG
Molecule: microRNA precursor, 136 nt
Filed under: Hordeum vulgare
Lineage: Eukaryota; Viridiplantae; Streptophyta; Magnoliopsida; Poales; Poaceae
Description: microRNA MIR1122
Rfam family: MIR1120/MIR1122 microRNA precursor family
Source: RNAcentral